AAAGCCGCUAUUGCCCAAAAAAUCAAUCAUCCAAGGCCAAACACAACCAACCUUAAAUAUGAUACAAUGUUUCUUUUGGGUUCAAUCAAAUAUUUAAUACAUUGGGAUAUUUUCCACUUUAUAUUAUAUGUUUUUGGUAAGUGAUCCCAACUUUGGUAUCUUAGAGCAUAUGCAACGGUGGACUCCUUCUUGGAGUCCUUACCACUAUUUUAGUUUUUUUUUGUUUGAAUAGUUAAGGAUUCUAGUAAAAAUAGUGUGUCCAAUAGUGAUCUCCGAUUAGGAGUCUUACACAUAUAUACAUAUUUCCCUCCAUCCAAUGAGACGCGGCCACGUCACUAAGGACUUGAUCCUUAAACUCUUUGUCUAAGGAUUGCUCCUUACCGAAUUGGGCUUUGAUAAUAUUAUUUUAUCUGGAUUCGCCUAGGAUAUAGCGCUAAGGAUUCGUCUAAAUGGACCGUUGCGGAUGCUCUUAGAACACCAUCUAAAUAUUUACUCCACGACUUAAAAUUGACCCUGACUUUUUCUAAAAUAUUUAUAGCCUAAUACCAGUAGUCUAAACCGAUGCUAACACUAAAACCAAACCUCCUAAAUUCAAUUGUUUUAGUUUUAGAUAUAGAUUCGUGUUAAUAUUACUUCUCCUUCGCAAUAAACAAAGAACAAAGUUUUUAUCUGAAUCCAUCUCAUGCUAUACUAACAGCCAUUCUCUUUAAUUCGAAUGAGAGUUUUGGCUUCUUCAAUCAUUUGGUGAAAGAAAUCUUUGGAUGUCAGCUGCAGUUGAUCAAUAAGCAAGGCCAUAUGUAAGUGUAUCAUAUAUAUCUGAAUCCAUCUCAUGCUAUACCUUUGGAUCCUUCAAUUUUCUUUCUAGGGUUUCACUGCUUAGGUUUCGAAUCAUGGGCGAAGUGAAAAUCUCUGCAAUUUCAGAUAAUAUGUUGGUUGCGCAGUGACGAGAAAAAAGAAACUCGGAUUUUGAGAAUUCAUGAGAUGAGAAAACGAAUUGGUUCUUUGAAGAAGAAAGCCAUCAAUGCUACUAACAAAUUCAAGCACUCUCUCAAGAAGAAAAAGUGAAUUGAAAAACGAAAGCUGAGUCGGUUCUGUCUCCAUUGAAGAUGUUCGUGAUGUCGAGGUGUUUCAAGUAGUUGAUGAGUUUAGACACUCUUUGGUCAUGGACGAGAUGCUAUCCUCUAAACACACAUGAUGAUGAGGUUCUCGAAGGCAAGAAAAUUCAAUAUUGAGAAAGCAAAGCAAAUGUGGGCUGAUAUGAUCCAGGACUUUGAGUUUGAAGGGAUUAAUGAUGUCUCUUUACACGUCCUUUGUUGUUGCUAUUGUUGAUGCAUGGGUCCAUUAGGUAUUUGGUACAGAUAUCCCUGGUGGAAAGAGAAGGAGAUAUUCUCGGAGGAGAGGAGGGAGCAAUGGAUGUGUCCUCUGACGCUAAGAGAGGCGGCGUCGGUUCUAAAAGCACCAGGAUUCAAUAAAAGUUGAUAUACAUUGCAGUUGGUGAGAUUUAUGGGUGCAAGCAUACACUGUCUGUCCUAAGAGAAGCAUUCCGGAAUUGUCAGUCUACCAGUACCAGUCCUGGUUUCCCUACCGAGUGGUCGAUCGCGUCUCUCAUUAUAUGUGCAAUUGUUCUUCUAUUUUUACUCUCACAUGUGGUUAUAGGUAAUGAAAUGCUAUUGGAGUAGGCAGAGUUGCAACAGUUUCAGAACCAUUUGUCUCAAAUCACUGGUCUAAAUUUUAUUGUGUUUGUGGCUAGCAACACUUUUAUUCCCAUGUAUGAUGGAAACAUGGCAAAAAUUGUGGAAGGCCGUCAGAUGUAUCUCGGGUUUAGGAAAACAGUCCUGCUUGACCACAAGAGACUCUUGCUGCUACUGGACUUUCAUCACAACAAGCAUGAGGGAUCAGUUUGCAAUAGCUGUCAAGGAAGCCCGUGAGAGAAGAACAGGAGCACCAACACAUCGAAGAGUAAUCUCACAUCAAACUAUGGAGGAAGAAUAGUUUUAUGCAAACCCUCGGGAAUGUCUUUGUGAAGGUACAAAUUGCCACAGCAUAUUUGGUCAUAAAAAUUCCAGUUUAACAUGUUGUAAAUCAUGUUUUUAGAAGAAAAAAAAUUGUCAAGUCAUGUUUUUAGCACAUUAUCUCAUUGCCCAUGAAAGAGGACGAGAUGCAAAACACUUGGAACAGGACCUGCUAAGUAGUUCAUUCGUUGAGUUUUUUUUCUGCAGAGUUGCUGAUUAUUUAUUUGUUUUUAUGUAAGUUAAGAUGUAACUAAAACAUCAUUGUCUAUCUCCUUAUAGAAAUUUCAAAAAAUUAAUUAGUAUA
Brassica napus (rape) is the source of this 2316-nucleotide long non-coding RNA. RefSeq lists it as uncharacterized. NCBI's taxonomy places the organism in Eukaryota, Viridiplantae, Streptophyta, Magnoliopsida, Brassicales, Brassicaceae. The record is from RefSeq and is a predicted model, not a curated record. The transcript is spliced from 2 exons.